GCAAGUCGGACGCGAACGUUCUCUUCGGAGAACUAUUAGAGUGGCGAAAGGGCGAGGAAUACACGGGUAACGUACCCUUGGCACAAGGAUAGCUACGGGAAACUGUAGGUAAUACUUGAUGAGACCACAGCAUCAUAUGGUGCGGUGAUUAAAGGACGGGGAUCUCUUCGGAGACCUGUUGGCCAGGGAGCGGCCCCUGUGCUAUCAGCUAGUUGGUGAGGUAAUGGCUCACCAAGGCUACGACGGCUACCGGGACUGAGAGGUCGAUC
RNAcentral lists this ribosomal RNA (269 nucleotides) under uncultured bacterium. Its description in RNAcentral is "partial 16S ribosomal RNA". It matches the Rfam family "Bacterial small subunit ribosomal RNA", at positions 57 to 305 of the family's 1533-position model. The record is from RNAcentral.